This 2485-nucleotide long non-coding RNA is filed under the name Mytilus galloprovincialis (Mediterranean mussel). Lineage: Eukaryota; Metazoa; Mollusca; Bivalvia; Mytilida; Mytilidae. The record is from RNAcentral.
UAUAUAAAAAAAAAAAAAAAGACAACAAAACAGCAUUUAUUUCUAAGAUAAGACAUAAUUGAAAGUAUUACUUGAAUUAUCAAAGUCCGUAUUCCCUAACAUAAACAUUAAAACUUGAAAACUUAACUAAAUUUUAAAAUUCAAUAUACAACAAAACAAAAUAAACAACUGCUUCAAUAAAAUAAAAGCAUAACUAAUACUGAGAUCAAAUGUCCUGAAACAAUGAGCUGCGUUGGAUAGAAAUUGAUCUUUUGCAAAUGCAUGUAUAUGUGUAUGUGUACAUGUAAACAUAAACUUACAAAUGUACAUGUAUAAAUUGAUCAGAAUUUUGGUCUUAAAACAACUAACUUUUCAUAAAGAUUUUUUCAACCUGAAAUAGGUUAACAGAUGUAUUGAUAUUCAUUUGCAAAAGGUCUAUUUCUAUACAACACAGCUCAGAUAUAAUAAUACACUUUUUAUAAAUAAUAAUAAUAUCUGGUCAAAGAAACCUUUUACACUCUUAUACAUUUGUACCCUGUCAGGCACAUUUUUAAUAUUCACCAAACUUGGAUGUUAAACUUAAUUAAUACAAGUAAGUGAAAACUUAAAUCCAUAAGAAAAAGCUACUUUUUGUUAAUUCAAUUAUUCUCUCCCAGAUGUUUCUAUAAUGUGAACACCACGUUCUAUAUUUUAGUAUGUUUGAUCCGAAAUAUGAUAUAAAACGUAAUCGAAAUCAAUAAAGUUAAAAUGUACAUGAAGUUAACCUAUUUUUUUGUGAGAAGUUUUCAUAAUUACCUCACUGAAUUCUUGUACAAAGUAAAAUUAGUAAUAACAUAUGAAAGCUUAACUUGGAUGUAAAAAUGAAAAUCUCUAUAUAAAGCCCUAAAUUUGCCCCUAUUUCUAGCAACAAUUUCAAAUUUCUUUUUAAGAUUUAUUGACCAAUAUCACGAUGAAUCAAAGCUAAUAUAAUAAUUUUAUAUGAAAUAUAUUUUUUUGGCUGAAAAAUGUGCAUACUAGUAUUCUAUUCAUGAAGUCACAAUAAGCACUCCAACUGAUUUUCAAAGAAAAUUCAAUGAAAACAUGUAAAUUUGCAUUAGACAGGAAAACAUGGGGCACAUGCCUCGACAGGAAAACAUGAGACACAUGCCUCGACAGGAAAACAUGGGGCACAUGCCUCGACAGGAAAACAUGGGGCACAUGCCUCGACAGGAAAACAUGGGACACAUGCCUCGACAGGAAAACAUGGGGCACAUUACUCGAUAGGAAAACAUGGGGCACAUGCCUCAACAGGGGAACAUGGGGCACAUGCCUCGACAGGAAAACAUGGGGCACAAGCCUCGACAAAACAGAUCUGUGGACAUUGUUAUAACAUUUAUAUCUAGCAUGCACAAUAAAAUUGUCCAUCUCUGUGCUCUGUAUUCUAGUUCUAAACUUGGUUGAAAUCUUGAUUAUUUUGUCAAAUUUUGCAACGAUCCCUAUUAUUGCUCUACUUUGGAUGUAAAUAUCAACACUAUAAAUUAAACUUCAUUAAAAAUGGUUCUGUUCAACUUUCUUAUGUCUUUUUUCCAAUUUGAAACAUCUUUUGUCUUGAAAUAUUGAACUUAAUGAUAAAUAUGGCCCUUACCAAACUUACUUUGUAGUACAAGUAAAGCAAAAUUGUUAACCAGUCCCUAAUAUCAUGUAAUAUGGGUCAAGUGACCUUUACCUUGGGCUAAUGACCAGUUUGUCCAAAAUGCAUAUAUGAAUCAAAUUAUAUUACAAAUAGGAAAUGGUAUUAUUUCCAAUUAGACAACUUUCCAAUAAAGACAAAAUGUCAUAGAUGUUAGUAAUUAUAAUAACAAGCUAUAAAAGGUCAGAUAUGACAAAUGUUAAACAAUUCAAGUAAAUGAUUUAUUUAAAUAAUUUGAUAUAACGCAACAAAUAACAACUACUGAAUUACAGGCUUUGGACUUGGAACAAGCAUAUAGAAAAUAAGGAAGGGCCUGUGGGUGCCCCCCUUUAAACCUAGGACAGUGAUGUAAUGACACACCAUUAGAACACACUUUAAAAGGUUUUAUUUCUUGUAGUUUCUAAUAUCUGGCUGUGGACACAGAAGUACCCCUGAAAAGUCUAAUUACCCCUCAACUUGAUCUUUGCUGAACAAAGUAAUAAAUUGUUGUGACCUAAAAUGUAACAAUUUUUCAAUGAUUUUUGACAAGUAAAAACAACAAAAUUAAAGCUAUAUUCACAAUGUUAGUCUUCAAAUGACAAACUACCACAUGAUCAUCAAAACUAAAAUAUGAUUACACAUUAGUCCAUUUUUGGAAGCAAAAUUAUCUCACUCUAAUACAACAACACAGCUAAAUAUCAUUUCAAAUUCAUGAUUUCUAAUAGUUAAUCACAUGAUACUUGAAAUUUUAAUAAAACAAACUACUGUAAAUUCAGAAAUUAUUGCAAUGUUUGUAUUAUUGCCAAAAAUGUGACAGGGUUAUAAUUGCAAUAAUUUAAACUCCCAUUUUGAAUUUUU